This is a long non-coding RNA of Sander lucioperca (pikeperch), 154 nucleotides long. RefSeq lists it as uncharacterized. The transcript is spliced from 3 exons. The record is from RefSeq and is a predicted model, not a curated record. Lineage: Eukaryota; Metazoa; Chordata; Actinopteri; Perciformes; Percidae.
GCAGCACCUUCCACAGUAUCUCCCGGGGGACCCGGCCAUACAUUUUCUCCAGAUCCACAAAACACAUGUAGAACGGAUGGGCAUACUCCCAGGCUCCCUCCAGGAUCCUUGCAAGAAUGAAGAGCUGGUCCGUUGUUCCAAGACCAGGACGGAC